RNAcentral lists this ribosomal RNA (469 nucleotides) under uncultured bacterium. RNAcentral describes it as "partial 16S ribosomal RNA". It matches the Rfam family "Bacterial small subunit ribosomal RNA", at positions 28 to 507 of the family's 1533-position model. The record is from RNAcentral.
GACGAACGCUGGCGGCGUGCUUAACACAUGCAAGUCGAACGGAAAGGCCCUGCUUGCAGGGUGCUCGAGUGGCGAACGGGUGAGUAACACGUGGGUGAUCUGCCCCUUAUUUUGGGAUAAGCCUGGGAAACUGGGUCUAAUACUGGAUAGGACCAUGCUGUAGGUGGUGUGGUGGAAAGAUUAGUUUCGGUAAGGGAUGAGCUCGCGGCCUAUCAGCUUGUUGGUGGGGUAAUGGCCUACCAAGGCGUCGACGGGUAGCCGGCCUGAGAGGGUGGACGGCCACAUUGGGACUGAGAUACGGCCCAGAAUCCUACGGGAGGCAGCAGAGGGGAAUAUUGCACAAUGGGCGCAAGCCUGAUGCAGCGACGCCGCGUGGGGGAUGACGGCCUUCGGGUUGUAAACUCCUUUCAGCCAUGACGAAGCCCUUGUGGUGACGGUAGUGGUAGAAGAAGCACCGGCUAACUACGUG